This 502-nucleotide ribosomal RNA is filed under the name uncultured bacterium. RNAcentral describes it as "bacterial SSU rRNA". It matches the Rfam family "Bacterial small subunit ribosomal RNA", at positions 28 to 517 of the family's 1533-position model. The record is from RNAcentral.
GAUGAACGCUAGCUACAGGCUUAACACAUGCAAGUCGCGGGGUAACAUCUGGGAGAGCUUGCUCUUCCAGGAUGACGACCGGCGCACGGGUGAGUAACGCGUAUCCAACCUGGCCCAUACCACGGGAUAGCCCGUCGAAAGGCGGAUUAAUACCGUAUGCUGUCAUUAAGAUGCAUAUAUUGAUGACGAAAGGACUGGCGGUAUGGGAUGGGGAUGCGUCUGAUUAGCUUGUUGGCGGGGUAACGGCCCACCAAGGCGACGAUCAGUAGGGGUUCUGAGAGGAAGGUCCCCCACAUUGGAACUGAGACACGGUCCAAACUCCUACGGGAGGCAGCAGUGAGGAAUAUUGGUCAAUGGGCGGAAGCCUGAACCAGCCAAGUAGCGUGCAGGAAGACGGCCCUAUGGGUUGUAAACUGCUUUCAGUCGGGAAUAAUUCGUCGGUCGUGACCGACGUUGCAGGUACCGUCAUAAGAAGGACCGGCUAAUUCCGUGCCAGCAGCCG